GUCUCGGUAGUGUAAGGGACAUAGUACCGUGCCCUGAAAGCACAAGUACGGGUUCGAGUCCUGUCCGAGACU
RNAcentral lists this transfer RNA (72 nucleotides) under Haemonchus placei. It matches the Rfam family "tRNA". Rfam says of the family: Transfer RNA (tRNA) molecules are approximately 80 nucleotides in length. The record is from Rfam by way of RNAcentral. Lineage: Eukaryota; Metazoa; Nematoda; Chromadorea; Rhabditida; Trichostrongylidae.